UACGUAGGGUGCGAGCGUUGUCCGGAAUUACUGGGCGUAAAGAGCUCGUAGGUGGUUUGUCGCGUUGUUCGUGAAAACCGGGGGCUUAACCCUCGGCGUGCGGGCGAUACGGGCAGACUUGAGUACUGCAGGGGAGACUGGAAUUCCUGGUGUAGCGGUGGAAUGCGCAGAUAUCAGGAGGAACACCGGUGGCGAAGGCGGGUCUCUGGGCAGUAACUGACGCUGGGGAGCGAAAGCGUGGGGAGCGAACAGG
Molecule: ribosomal RNA, 253 nt
Filed under: uncultured bacterium
Lineage: Bacteria
Description: partial 16S ribosomal RNA
Rfam family: Bacterial small subunit ribosomal RNA
Source: RNAcentral